GCGCCUGUAGCUCAAGCGGAGAGAGCAACGGUCUUCUAAACCGUAGGUUCCAGGUUCGAGUCCUGGCAGGCGCGCCA
RNAcentral lists this transfer RNA (77 nucleotides) under Planctomycetes bacterium SM23_25. RNAcentral's name for it is "tRNA-Arg". It matches the Rfam family "tRNA". From Rfam's summary of the family: Transfer RNA (tRNA) molecules are approximately 80 nucleotides in length. Their secondary structure includes four short double-helical elements and three loops (D, anti-codon, and T loops). Further hydrogen bonds mediate the characteristic L-shaped molecular structure. tRNAs have two regions of fundamental functional importance: the anti-codon, which is responsible for specific mRNA codon recognition, and the 3' end, to which the tRNAs corresponding amino acid is attached (by aminoacyl-tRNA synthetases). tRNAs cope with the degeneracy of the genetic code in two manners: having more than one tRNA (with a specific anti-codon) for a particular amino acid; and 'wobble' base-pairing, i.e. permitting non-standard base-pairing at the 3rd anti-codon position. Lineage: Bacteria; Pseudomonadati; Planctomycetota. The record is from RNAcentral.